ACACUACUGAAGAAUCCCAUACUAGGAUGAAACAGCCGUUCAGUAU
RNAcentral lists this non-coding RNA (46 nucleotides) under Schistosoma mattheei. Lineage: Eukaryota; Metazoa; Platyhelminthes; Trematoda; Strigeidida; Schistosomatidae. The record is from RNAcentral.